ACGAACGCUGGCGGCGUGCUUCACACAUGCAAGUCGCACGGAAAGGCCCUGCUUUUGUGGGGUGCUCGAGUGGCGAACGGGUGAGUAACACGUGAGUAACCUGUCCUUGACUUUGGGAUAACUUCAGGAAACUGGGGCUAAUACCGGAUAGGAGCUCCUGCUGCAUGGUGGGGGUUGGAAAGUUUCGGCGGUUGGGGAUGGACUCGCGGCUUAUCAGCUUGUUGGUGGGGUAGUGGCUUACCAAGGCUUUGACGGGUAGCCGGCCUGAGAGGGUGACCGGCCACAUUGGGACUGAGAUACGGCCCAGACUCCUACGGGAGGCAGCAGUGGGGAAUAUUGCACAAUGGGCGGAAGCCUGAUGCAGCAACGCCGCGUGCGGGAUGACGGCCUUCGGGUUGUAAACCGCUUUCGCCUGUGACGAAGCGUGAGUGACGGUAAUGGGUAAAGAAGCACCGGCUAACUACGUG
Molecule: ribosomal RNA, 467 nt
Filed under: uncultured bacterium
Lineage: Bacteria
Description: partial 16S ribosomal RNA
Rfam family: Bacterial small subunit ribosomal RNA
Source: RNAcentral